CCUACGGGGGGCUGCAGUAAGGAAUAUUGGUCAAUGGACGCAAGUCUGAACCAGCCAUGCCGCGUGGAGGAUGAAGGUCCUCUGGAUUGUAAACUUCUUUUAUUUGGGAAGAAACUCCCGAUUUCCAUCGGGAUUGACGGUACCAGAUGAAUAAGCACCGGCUAACUCCGUGCCAGCAGCCGCGGUAAUACGGAGGGUGCAAGCGUUCUCCGGAUUCACUGGGUGUAGGGGGUGCGGAAAGGCACAGGUAAAAUCUCCGGGAUUAACCCGGAAACUGCCAUUGAUACUAUUGGUCUGGAAUACUCUGGAGGUGAGCGGAAUAUGUCAUGUAGCGGUGAAAUGCUUAGAUAUGACAUAGAACACCCAUUGCGAAGGCAGCUCACUACGGAAAUAUUGACGCUGAGGCACGAAAGCGUGGGGAUCAAACAGGAUUAGAUACCCCGGUAGUC
RNAcentral lists this ribosomal RNA (449 nucleotides) under uncultured bacterium. Its description in RNAcentral is "partial 16S ribosomal RNA". It matches the Rfam family "Bacterial small subunit ribosomal RNA", at positions 338 to 795 of the family's 1533-position model. The record is from RNAcentral.